UGGUGGGGUCCUAGAGCUGCCAUUGAGGUUCCUCAGGCAGUAGUGGGGUGAAUAAGGUCCCCAUGCUAGCCAGGACAUGCACAAGAGGGCCAUGCCCGGCCUCUCGCAUCAGGCAGUGGGAUACAGCACUGGCUGCAUCUGGGCAGACACAAUCCCUGUGCUCACCCUGCAGCAUAACCUGGAGGGGAUAUUUUCUCCUGUGCAGGGACCCAGGGAGAACACCAACCUCACACAGCUGCUGUGCCACCUGCACAGAAGCGAUAUGUUGCACAGAGUGAUGCUCUUCGACUCGAGUCUGCAGCACGUGGUGAGGGGUCCUGCUUCCCUGCUUUGGUAUUGCUGCUCCAGGAGCAGACACAGGGACAGCUGCAGACUGCAGCAGUCCUACGGGUGUCCGGCUGCUGAGGGGACUGUACAGAUACCCCAGCUUCAAAGGGAAAGGCACAGGGCUGAGCUGUCCCUGCCUGUGUCCCUGUGUGCUGCUUGGUGCAGGGGAAGGAGGAAGUGUGCAAUGGGUGUGCGGACGCUUUCAAAAGCGAAACCCUGCCAGUAUGCAGGGCUGGGAUGUGGGGCUGCGUCCGGCAGCACUGCAGGCUCAGUGCGUGGCGGCACAGCUCAAUGGGCACCAGAAGGUCCUGGGAACACGGCUGUGGGGCAAGGAUCCUGCUGAGGGUGCGGGAAUGCAAUGUGCAGGACAGGGAUGCCAGCAGGGUCCUGGGCAUUGCUUCUGCCUUAUUGUACUCAUGUUACAGAGCUCUGGCCCUGCCCUGACACGAGAGCACCAACACGGGCUACCAGCCUUCCGGAGCAGGGCCCAUGAGGCAGCAGGAGCCCCAGAGCAGGGCUCAGCAGGGCCAGCCUCCAUCUCUGCAGGCAGCACCAGGCGGCACUGCAGCAGGGCUCAGGGCCCAGCUGAGAGGCCCCGGUGGGAAGGCCUGGCCUGCUCGGGAGGGACAAGCGCUGCCAGCCAGGAGGCCGCCAUUCCUCCUGGCAGUGGCACACAGCACUGGCAUAGAGCAGAUGAGGAAGGACAACCUGUUCAAAGACUUAAUGAAAACUCCAGGGAUGGCUGCUUGGCACCUUCCAUCAGGAACAUACAGCAGGGAUGUGAAUCCUGCCCUCAGCCACUGCAGGUCCUUACAGAAUACAGGAACAGACAGGUGCAGGAGGUGACUCAGGCCCCUGAUACGAUGUCUCUUGUUUCAGAGGGAGCUCUUUACCAUGUGUCCUCUUCCCACCCACAACAGAGGUGUCCUCAGAAGAGGAGAUCCUACCAGCAAGCGCAGGGUGCAGGAAGGAGAAUGGAGCAGUUUGCUACUGUUCUGCAGUGCCAGGCAGGGAGAGGUGAUGCUGCCACGGCCAGAGCCACACCUUCUUCCAGACAGAGCCAUAUCCUCGGGGCCUGCUCACAGCGAUGUCCCCAGGAUGCUGACAGCAGCGUCAUCGUAGCUCGUGUCCUCAGCGUGUUGUGCCGGGGCAUCCCAGGUGUGGGGAGAGGGGGACACCUCUGGCACAGCCAUAGCAUCGUCGUAGCCAUGUGAGGGGCUGUGCUGGGGCUGGGCAAGGGGGUCUGUGGGAGGCAUGGAGGGGCCGGUGGUGAGGACACAGCCAGGAGGGGAUGCGUGCCCUCGCCUCCCCAUCUGCACUGUUUGGCUGUGUCCCAUCAGAUAAGUGCCUGGUGCAUUUCUAUCCUCACAGGGCACCUCUGUGCCUAUGUCCCUACCUGGGGACAGCUGGAGGUCUCUCUCCUCUUGACCAUCCCUGGUGUGAAGUGACAGCUUUGUUCCUGAGCCUUGAGACAGGGAGCCUGGAGGGGAGGAAGUGUGUUAUGGACAUGAUAGGUGAUGGGGAGAGCCCUAGGCUGCGGGGGACCUCCCGCUCCCACCUGUGCUGCUGGGCACCUCCUGGUACUUGGGCAUCAGGCUGUCGUCAAGCUCCUCAUACACAACCUCGGAGGCAGCAUCCUUGCUGGGGCCUGCAAUGCAGUGCGCAUGGCACUGGUGUCCCCGGUGUCCCCAAGGUGCUGCCCCGUGGUGGGGGCCCCCCAGAUCAGUGCCCACCUUGACACUGGGCCUGUGCGCGGUGUGCCUGCACAACCAGGGUGGCCAGGGCCAGGCACAGCAGCGUCCCCAGGAUCACGCACAGGACUGUGAGUGCGGUCACACUCCUUGGUGCUGCUGUUUGCGGAGCGGCGCUGUGGGUGAGAGCUGUGGGGCAGUGAUGGGAAGUGUGAGGCCCCAUGGGAUCCCAUGGCAGCGGUUAGAGGACAGUGAGCAUGGACAGAACAAUUUGUUGAGGUGAUUCUGUCCUUGUGGCUGCUACCUGGGGCUGGGCUGGUGGCCUCACUCCUGUCUCUUGUGUCCUCUUCACAUGCGAUGUGGGUGAUUCCAGUGGGGUCGCAUUCCUGCAGCUGCCAGGGUGCUGAGGGGCAGCGCCAGAGCGAGCGGGCCCCCUCCUCACAACUCACCCAGCUCAGCCAGGCAGGAUCAGAGCCCUGUGCAGGGACCGCCACCAGACUCCCCCCAGUGCCACAUCCCAGCU
Molecule: long non-coding RNA, 2541 nt
Organism: Numida meleagris (helmeted guineafowl)
Lineage: Eukaryota; Metazoa; Chordata; Aves; Galliformes; Numididae
Source: Ensembl